This 451-nucleotide ribosomal RNA is filed under the name uncultured organism. RNAcentral's name for it is "partial 16S ribosomal RNA". It matches the Rfam family "Bacterial small subunit ribosomal RNA", at positions 333 to 800 of the family's 1533-position model. The record is from RNAcentral.
ACACUCCUACGGGAGGCAGCAGUGGGGAAUAUUGGACAAUGGGCGCAAGCCUGAUCCAGCCAUGCCGCGUGAGUGAUGAAGGCCCUAGGGUUGUAAAGCUCUUUCACCGGUGAAGAUAAUGACGGUAACCGGAGAAGAAGCCCCGGCUAACUUCGUGCCAGCAGCCGCGGUAAUACGAAGGGGGCUAGCGUUGUUCGGAUUUACUGGGCGUAAAGCGCACGUAGGCGGACUAUUAAGUCAGGGGUGAAAUCCCGGGGCUCAACCCCGGAACUGCCUUUGAUACUGGUAGUCUUGAGUUUGAGAGAGGUGAGUGGAAUUCCGAGUGUAGAGGUGAAAUUCGUAGAUAUUCGGAGGAACACCAGUGGCGAAGGCGGCUCACUGGCUCGAUACUGACGCUGAGGUGCGAAAGCGUGGGGAGCAAACAGGAUUAGAUACCCUAGUAGUCCCAUGA